UUUUUUCCCAUUCCCUUCCCUUACCUCCCCCUUUGAUUGUAGGUGGGUCGUAAUAGUCGUGGCCAGUGAUCAAAGGAGAAGGGAGAAGAGAGGAGUUAUAGAGAAGGGAAAGGAGGAAAGACGAGAAAAUGAGUAAGGAGGGGAGAGGCAGAUAAGGAGAAGGGAUGGUGGUGGUGAAUGAGGAAUAGAGGAAUGGUGAUGGUUGUUGUAGGAAAUUUUUAAAAAAUGCCAACAAUACCUAAUUCAAAUGGACCAUUUAUAGUAAAAAGUUUUAAAAUACAAUACUAUAAUAAAGUUUUUAAAAAAUAUCUCAAAAAUACUUAAUCCAUACGAAUCAUAGGUUGUGCUGCCAAUUGAGGUUGGUAAUGUUUUUAGAAUUGAAAAUUGCUAAAAUUAACUCAAGAAAGGGAUCAAAAAAGUUAUCUAUGUAGUGCCACAUCAAUUGGCUGUUAUAAUGUCCAAAUGACCCAUUUAGACUGUUUAUCAUUUUCCUUUCAUAAUUCAUCUUCCUCAAUUAUCAUCUUCUUAUAAUAAUAUUCCAUGCAAAUCUAGUUUUUGUUUUCCUUCUCCCUCCAUGCAAAUUCAAUUUUUGUGUUCAUCCUUCCUCCGCCAUCUAUAGGCACUUAAUAUAUUCACUUUUUAUGAUCAGUCAUACACAUACUAGAAAUAGCAAGAAAUUAUACGAAUAGAUGUUUAUGAAAAUUACUUAGAUUCACAAUUCCGUUUCAAUUUGCAAAUAGCAAUUUCUAGACUUUUUUACCUUUUGCAUAUGGACAUUGAUAGCUAAAUUUAUUGCAUUUCCCUUAUUUUUGGAAGACAAUAAGAUUGUAGUUUAGUCUUUGAUAUUUAAUGGAGUUAUUUUGUUCAAUUAUAUGAAAUAUGUUUUUAGUGUGUGGUGUUGAUUAAGAGAGAUUGCAAUUUGCACAUGAAGAUGGCCGAUGGUAUUCUGAUCUAGUUACUCGUAUUGUUAUUGAAUUAUUGUGAUGUUAGGUUUUCAUUAUAAUGAUAGUAAGGAAGAAGAUGAAGAUCACGAUUUAGAAUAAAGAGUCUAGGUGCAUAUAGCUUUUUAGGACUUCCAUUACUUCUCUAAUAUUAAGAAGUAAGAUUAAUGAUAAAAGCAAUAAGAAUAAAAUUGCAACAAAAAAAGAAAAUAAAAACAAUAGAUUUCAAAAAUAAAUUUGAUAAAAAGAAAGUUAAUAAGAAAAAAAGUCUCAAUUGUUGUUUCAUGAUUUAUUCUCCUUGAACACCAUUUUUCUCAUUCCUGUUUUCUUCAUUCUCUCUAUAUUUUCUCUAUUUUCUUUUUGUUCCUUUGUUUUCUUUUGCCCUUUCCACAAAUUAAUAAAUGAUUAGUUGCAAUUAUAGUAAACUCAAAUAGCAAGAGAUUAGAAAAUAAAUGAUCAAGGAACCAUUUGACACUCACAAUUUGAUUCUGAUUAUAGAAAAGCAAGUGAUAAUACCACAAUUUGUACAGCUCCAAUUUUAUUUUCAUAGCAAUUUAGGUUACAAUGCCUAUAUUGCCCUCAUAAAAGUAAACAUCAACUUAAGGGAUUGAUUGUUUCUCUUUCCUUUCCUUUCUUGUCGAUGAAAACAACAAUUCUUCUCGACAUUUUCUUUUAUUCCUUCACAACCGAUUUAUCUUCUUUCACAUACCCAUCACCACCACAUCAAUUUCCCUUCUCUCAUACUACCUCCGCUUUUCUUUCUUUUGAACUUUAUGCUCCUAGCCAAAUCUUCAUGGCUCCGUUUGAAUUAGUUAUUUUUGAAGGUGUUUUUGAAAUAUUUUACUAUGGUAAUGUAUGUGAAAAGCUUUUACUAUAGAUAUUUUUAAUGGUGUUUUUAGGGUGUUUUUGAAAUUUUUUUUUUGGAUAUUUUUAAGAUUUAAAAUUUUAAUGAGAUAUUUUUAAAAUUGCAUAAAACCUUACCACCACCCCUUCCCUCCUCCCUCCUCUUCCCUCUUUCUCUCCCAUAUUUUUUGGGAUAUUUGGGAUGUAUUUUGGGGUAUUUUUAUAAUUAAAAAUAUGUUUGGAUACUUUUUAAAAAAUUUACACCACUCACCACCACUAUCCAUCUCUACCACUGCCUCCCUCCUCCUCCUCCCUCUUCUUUCUCUCCCCUUCUUCCCUUUUCCCUCUCUUUCUCCUUUCUCCCCUCCCCCUUCUAUUCUUCCCUUCUUCUUCCUUCCUCUCUUUUUCCUUCCCCUUCUCCCGUCCCUACUAGACUCACCUGGAGAUUGUUGGCGCGACCUUCUAGGUCAUGACCAGAAAGGUCACGCCAAUAGUAGCGCUACCUUUUUGGUCGCGAUCAGAUCUGGUUGCGACCAGAAACUCAUGACUAGUGCAACCAAAAGGUCACAGCUAGAGCUGCUAUUGGUUCUUGGAAGACGAGAGGAGAGGGAGGAGGAGGAAGGAGAAGGAGGAAGGAGAAGGAGGAGGAGGAGAAGGAGAAGAGUAGGGAAGAAAGGAGAAAAAGGAAGGGGGAUGAGAGAGGAGGGGAGGAACAACGGUGGAGGUAAUAGUGAUGGUGAAGGAGAGAGAAGGGAGUGGUAGAUGGUGGUGGUGGGUGGUAGUGAUCGGAGGAAGAAGAAAAGGUGAUAGGAUUUAUUUGUUGUAAGUUGUAUUUGAAAUAUAAGGAGUGUUUUUUGGUGGUAUUUUUGGAGUGUGUUAUUGUAGAUUUGUAGAUAAAAAAUAAGUAUUUCAAAAACUCUCAAAUAUUUUUCCAAUUUAUGUUUCUAGGAAUAAAAAUUCUUGCAAGUUCAUAGUAAAUUUCUUUGAUCAAAUUAGAGUGAUGCCAUGGGCUUUUACAUUCUUUUGUGUUUUAGCUUGGGAUGAAAUUUUAUGAAUACAACUGAUAGCAAACAACUCGAUUCCCUAUGCACUUUGUUGGAAAGAAUGUCUUGCUUAAGUUUUCUUCAGGAAUCAGGCCCUUUUAUUUGAUUGCAAAGUCAAAGGUCUUGAAAGUUAAAUCUCCUAAUAUCUUUGUCCUGCUAGAAAUUUCUUUUGUAUAUGUGUCAAAAAAAAAAAAAACUUAGACGUGUUCCCUUUCAUUGAAACUAUGGUUUAGGGAGAAUGGUAUAUGAGACUUAUUCAUGGGCAGAGGAGAAGGGAUAGAGGCAUCAGCGUAUUGCAAGGUAGGAACUAGAAUAUGAGAAAAAGGGCAAAAAGAAAGAGAAAUAAAAAGGCAUGAAUGGCGGGAAUGUGCCUAUAGUGUGGUUGGUAGGGUACAUGCAAUUUGUGAGCUUUGUAUUGACUUUGAUAGGAUAUUAUGAGUAUUAAAGAUAAUAUUGCUAUGAAAAUAAAAUUGGAGAUGUGGCAUUAUCAAUUGCCUAAUACAAAUAACAGGAUCUUGUUCCUUUUUUAAUAGAUAUUAAUAGUUGAAUAUAUAGUUUUUUUUUUAGAGGUUUGUACUUUGGACUUAAUGUCUAAUAGAGUUCUUUUGUUAGAUAAAACAGGGUUUGGAAAUAAAGUCAUUAGCCUUUUUUUACUCGUUCAUUCUAGGUAUAAAUUUUUGGUAAUCGGACUAAAUUAAAAGAGAAUCACAAAAGGAAUAUUGAUGACAACCAGAUUUUAGUUGUCAUUAUUUGCUAUUAUGGUACUAGAGUGUUAACGGAGAAAUCAAAGAGAUCUGGCUAAGGUUUUAGGUAAAUGGUAUUUUGAAAUUUUUAAUACAUUUUAUCAACAUUAAUUGGUGAUAAGAAAUCAAUUUUAGUAGCUAAGAAUAAAGGUCUCUUUAUUAUAGAUUUGUGCAUUUGAAAACAAAUUUUGCUAUUUGAUUAAAUCUCAAGGUCGUACUUAUAGUUUGGCUAAAUUUGAGAGGAGGUAAAUAAUUAACCGCUCUUUUGAACGUCAAAUAACAAUAAUACUAAUUUACAUCUAUAGGUUGGAAAGAGAUAGUGGACUUAACGGGACCAUGGCCCGCAAAAACCAGAAGGAGAGAGCUUUUCUUAAGAUUUGAAAAGUAUACUAUUGCACACAAAUUUAACUUGUAAGCUAUAGCUACUCAAUGGGAAUUAAUGUGCAAAAGCUGUGGCAUUCAUGGGGAUUUAAUGUGCAAAAGGUGUGGAAUUCAACAUUAAUGUGCAAAAGUUUUGGUAUGGCAUAGAAUAGAGUAUGUAGAUUAGGGCAUUCGUUUCUUGACCUAUAGUUGAGGAAGUAUCCAAGUGAUAUCCUGGUGCUUUGGUUGGAUACUGUGAUUAAGGAAAGAAUUUAAGAUAUGGCUCUGUUUGGAUUAGUUAUUUUUCCCAUAAACUGUUUUUAUUUGUGGAAUCUCCAGUUAUAAAUACAAAAAAUAACUUUUAGAAUACACAAUUUCAAAUACAACUUACAAAAAAAGUAAAAGAUAAAAAUAAAUCCUACCACUUUUGGUUCUUUCACCUAUCACACGGCACCGCCGCUACCCCUUCCCUCCUCUCUCCUCCAUUCUUGCCAUCCUCCUCCGUUGCCAGUACCUUCUCCUUCUUUCUCCUUCCUCUCCCUCCUCUCCUAUCCCUCCUAUAUCAUUUCUCUUCUCGCUUCCAUUCUUUUCCCUUUUUCUACUAUUAUUUUCCCUUCUCUUCCCUUGUCGAUCCCUUCUCCCUUUUUCCCCUUCCCUUCUCCCAUUUUCCUAUUUUGGUCAUGACUAGAAAGAGAAGAAGAGGGGAAGAGGAUGGUGGGAAAAGAGAAUAAAAGGGGAAGAGGAAAGAGAUGGUAGUGGCGGAAGAGAGUAACGAUGGUAGAGAAGGAAGGAGAGAAGGGUGGAGGUUA
This 4739-nucleotide long non-coding RNA is filed under the name Coffea arabica (coffee). RNAcentral describes it as "long non-coding RNA (CARA_LNC007554)". The record is from RNAcentral. Lineage: Eukaryota; Viridiplantae; Streptophyta; Magnoliopsida; Gentianales; Rubiaceae.